Microcebus murinus (gray mouse lemur) is the source of this 96-nucleotide unclassified non-coding RNA. It matches the Rfam family "Y RNA". Rfam says of the family: Y RNAs are components of the Ro ribonucleoprotein particle (Ro RNP), in association with Ro60 and La proteins. The Y RNAs and Ro60 and La proteins are well conserved, but the function of the Ro RNP is not known. The record is from Ensembl. Lineage: Eukaryota; Metazoa; Chordata; Mammalia; Primates; Cheirogaleidae.
GGCUGGUCCGAUGGUAGUGGGUUAUUAGAAAUUAUUAACAUCAGUGUCAAUAAAGUUGGUAUACAACACCCGAAUGCUAAAUUUGACUGGCUUACA